This is a long non-coding RNA of Dendrobium catenatum, 647 nucleotides long. RefSeq lists it as uncharacterized. The transcript has 2 exons. NCBI's taxonomy places the organism in Eukaryota, Viridiplantae, Streptophyta, Magnoliopsida, Asparagales, Orchidaceae. The record is from RefSeq and is a predicted model, not a curated record.
UUCUUACAAUUUUAUAGGAAGCCACUUUGAUUUGAUAAUGGAGUAGGAUUCUGAACCGGCUAAGCCCUAAGGAUUUCUAAAUGAGAAAUUGAAAAUUGAUUUGACUACUGACCGGAGGGAAGGAGUUAGUGUGAAAUGUUCAAAUGAAACCAAGAAUAGAGGCUCUAGAAAAGUCCGGUCCAACUAUGUUUUUUUAAGGACAACUUUAACUUGCAGGAUUUGAUGGUUAGUAUGAUAAUCUCUUUAAGACAAUUUGACGACUCUCUAGGCUUGAACAAUGUUAGCGUCAGCAUGUUUUUCUUUAUUUAUUGUUUUCCUAAACAAUAUGCAAGGCACUCAUGAAGACCAGAAUAAAUCUAAUUGUGCGUUCUGUUUUUUCUAGGUUGGGGUUCAUUAUGGAGGAAAAUUCUAUGAAUUUGUGCCCUGGAAUGGUUCUGUGAGCUGGGAGAUCAGUCAAUGGGGUUACUGGCAUAUCUCUGCAGAGAACAAUCAAAAUAUGGUGGUCUCUUUACCUGCAACAUCAAAAUGUAGAAUUAGUAGCAACAGUUGAAGAACCUGGCACUCCCCUGAGAGCUCCAACGCAAGAAGCUGGACUAGUGACAGCAUGUAAAGAUACUUGCUAUGGUGAUCUGACGUUGCAGUUGUGG